AUUGAACGCUGGCGGCAUGCCUUACACAUGCAAGUCGAACGGUAACAGGUCUUCGGAUGCUGACGAGUGGCGAACGGGUGAGUAAUACAUCGGAACGUGCCUAGUAGUGGGGGAUAACUACUCGAAAGAGUGGCUAAUACCGCAUGAGAUCUACGGAUGAAAGCAGGGGAUCGCAAGACCUUGUGCUACUAGAGCGGCCGAUGGCGGAUUAGGUAGUUGGUGGGAUAAAAGCUUACCAAGCCGACGAUCUGUAGCUGGUCUGAGAGGACGGUCAGCCACACUGGGACUGAGACACGGCCCAGACUCCUACGGGAGGCAGCAGUGGGGAAUUUUGGACAAUGGGCGAAAGCCUGAUCCAGCAAUGCCGCGUGCAGGAUGAAGGCCUUCGGGUUGUAAACUGCUUUUGUACGGAACGAAAAGCCCCGGGUUAAUACCCUGGGGUCAUGACGGUACCGUAAGAAUAAGCACCGGCUAACUACGUGCCAGCCGCCGCAGUAA
Molecule: ribosomal RNA, 498 nt
Filed under: uncultured bacterium
Lineage: Bacteria
Description: partial 16S ribosomal RNA
Rfam family: Bacterial small subunit ribosomal RNA
Source: RNAcentral